UGCGUAGGGGGCAAGCGUUGUCCGGAAUCAUUGGGCGUAAAGCGCGUGUAGGCGGCCCGGUAAGUCCGCUGUGAAAGUCGGGGGCUCAACCCUCGAAUGCCGGUGGAUACUGUCGGGCUAGAGUGCGGGAGAGGCGAGUGGAAUUCCUGGUGUAGCGGUGAAAUGCGCAGAUAUCAGGAGGAACACCAAUUGCGAAGGCAGCUCGCUGGAACGUAACUGACGCUGAGACGCGAAAGCGUGGGGAGCAAACAGG
This 253-nucleotide ribosomal RNA is filed under the name uncultured bacterium. RNAcentral describes it as "partial 16S ribosomal RNA". It matches the Rfam family "Bacterial small subunit ribosomal RNA", at positions 524 to 776 of the family's 1533-position model. The record is from RNAcentral.